UUGGAGGGCAAGUCUGGUGCCAGCAGCCGCGGUAAUUCCAGCUCCAAUAGCGUAUAUUAAAGUUGUUGCAGUUAAAAAGCUCGUAGUUGAAUUUCGGGAUCAAUUUAUUGGUCGUGCUAUUGUACGUACUGGUAUUAUUGAUUCCUACCUUCUGACGAACCAUGAUGUCAUUAAUUUGGUGUCUUGGGGAAUCAGGACUGUUACUUUGAAAAAAUUAGAGUGUUUAAAGCAGGCUCACGCUUGAAUACAUUAGCAUGGAAUAACGAAAUAGGACGUUUGAUUCUAUUUUGUUGGUUUCUAGGAUCGACGUAAUGAUUAAUAGGGAUAGUUGGGGGCAUUAGUAUUCAAUUGUCAGAGGUGAAAUUCUUGGAUUUAUUGAAGACUAACUACUGCGAAAGCAUUUGCUAAGGAUGUUUUCAUUAAUCAAGAACGAAAGUAGGGGGAUCGAAGACGAUCAGAUACCGUCGUAGUCUUAGCCAUAAACUAUGCCGACUAGGGAUCGGAUGAUGUUAAUUUUUUAAUGACUCAUUCGGCGCCUUACGGGAAACCAAAGUGUUUGGGUUC
This 564-nucleotide ribosomal RNA is filed under the name uncultured Glomeromycotina. Its description in RNAcentral is "SSU rRNA". It matches the Rfam family "Eukaryotic small subunit ribosomal RNA", at positions 548 to 1114 of the family's 1831-position model. Lineage: Eukaryota; Fungi; Glomeromycota. The record is from RNAcentral.